UACAGGGGGGGCAAGCGUUGUUCGGAAUUACUGGGCGUAAAGGGUUCGUAGGUGGCCACCUAAGUCAGACGUGAAAUCCCUCAGCUUAACUGGGGAACUGCGUCUGAUACUGGGUGGCUUGAGUGCAGGAGAGGGAUGCGGAAUUCCAGGUGUAGCGGUGAAAUGCGUAGAGAUUAGGAAGAACACCAGUGGCGAAGGCGACUUACUGGACUGUAACUGACGCUGAGGCAUGAAAGCGUGGGGAGCAAACAGG
This 253-nucleotide ribosomal RNA is filed under the name uncultured bacterium. Its description in RNAcentral is "partial 16S ribosomal RNA". It matches the Rfam family "Bacterial small subunit ribosomal RNA", at positions 524 to 776 of the family's 1533-position model. The record is from RNAcentral.